Molecule: ribosomal RNA, 1171 nt
Filed under: Blattabacterium cuenoti
Lineage: Bacteria; Pseudomonadati; Bacteroidota; Flavobacteriia; Flavobacteriales; Blattabacteriaceae
Description: bacterial SSU rRNA
Rfam family: Bacterial small subunit ribosomal RNA
Source: RNAcentral
AUUUUGAUGGCGACCGGCGGACGGGUGCGUAACAAGUAUGUAACCUACCUUCUUCUAGAAAAUAGCCUGAGGAAACUAGGAUUAAUAUUCUAUAAUAUAGUAUUUUCGCAUGGAAAUAUUAUUAAAGUAAAAAUGCGGAAAAAGAUGGGCAUGCGCCCGAUUAGUUAGUUGGUGGGGUAAAGGCCUACCAAGACGAUGAUCGGUAGGGGGCCUGAGAGGGUGAUCCCCCACACUGGUACUGAGAUACGGACCAGACUCCUACGGGAGGCAGCAGUGAGGAAUAUUGGUCAAUGGAGGAAACUCUGAACCAGCCACGCCGCGUGCAGGAAGAAUGCGUUAUGGGUUGUAAACUGCUUUUGUUUAGGAAUAAAAAUUUCUACGUGAUAGAAAUUGUGAAGGUACUAGACGAAUAAGUGUCGGCAAACUCCGUGCCAGCAGCCGCGGUAAUACGGAGGACACAAGCGUUAUCCGGAUUUAUUGGGUUUAAAGAGUGCGUAGGCGGUUUAUUAAGUCAGUAGUGAAAUGUUACAGCUUAACUGUUAAAAUGGCUAAUGAUACUGAUAGACUUGAGUGAGAUNGGAGUAACUGGAAUGUGUGGUGUAGCGGUGAAAUGCAUAGAGAUCACACAGAACACCGAUCGCGAAAGCAGGUUACUAAAUCUAUACUGACGCUGAGGCACGAAAGCGUGGGGAGCAAACAGGAUUAGAUACCCUGGUAGUCCACGCCGUAAACGAUGAUCACUAGUCGUUGGAUUUUAUUAUUCAGUGGCUAAGCGAAAGUGAUAAGUGAUCCACCUGGGGAGUACGACCGCAAGGUUGAAACUCAAAGGAAUUGACGGGGGCCCGCACAAGCGGUGGAGCAUGUGGUUUAAUUCGAUGAUACGCGAGGAACCUUACCAAGGUUUAAAUGUACUACGAAUAAACUAGAAAUAGUUUAGUCUUCGGACGGAGUACAAGAUGCUGCAUGGUUGUCGUCAGCUCGUGCCCUGAGGUGUUGGGUUAAGUCCCUCAACGAGCGCAACCCUCAUUGUUAGUUGCCAACGAAUAAUGUCGGGGACUCUAGCAAGACUGCCGACGUAAGUCGAGAGGAAGGUGGGGACGACGUCAAAUCAUCACGGCUCUUAUACCUUGGGCUACACACGUGCUACAAUGGUCGGUACAAAGAGUUGCUA